This 737-nucleotide ribosomal RNA is filed under the name uncultured bacterium. RNAcentral describes it as "bacterial SSU rRNA". It matches the Rfam family "Bacterial small subunit ribosomal RNA", at positions 63 to 762 of the family's 1533-position model. The record is from RNAcentral.
CGAGCGAGGCGGGGAGCAAUCCCCAGUCGAGCGGCGAACGGGUGAGUAACACGUGGGUAACCUGCCUGCAGGUGGGGGAUAACUCGGGGAAACUCGAGCUAAUACCGCAUAGGAUCGAGAGAUCAAAGGGGGCGUGUCCACGAUGCCAAUCGGAGAUUCCGGUUGGCAUCGUGGGCCCGCUCUCGCCUGGAGAGGGGCCCGCGUACGAUUAGCUAGUUGGCAGGGUAAUGGCCUACCAAGGCGACGAUCGUUAGCCGGCCUGAGAGGGUGAUCGGCCACACUGGAACUGAGACACGGUCCAGACUCCUACGGGAGGCAGCAGUGGGGAAUUUUGCGCAAUGGGCGAAAGCCUGACGCAGCAACGCCGCGUGGAGGAUGAAGGUCCUUGGAUCGUAAACUCCUGUCAGCAGGGAAGAAGGUUGGUGACCUAAUACGUGAUCAGCUUGACGGUACCUGCAGAGGAAGCCCCGGCUAACUCUGUGCCAGCAGCCGCGGUAAUACAGAGGGGGCAAGCGUUAUUCGGAAUUAUUGGGCGUAAAGGGCGCGUAGGCGGCCGGACAAGUGGAAGGUGAAAUCCCCGGGCUCAACCCGGGAACUGCCUUCCAAACUGUCUGGCUGCAGUUCGGGAGAGGUGAGUGGAAUUCCCAGUGUAGCGGUGAAAUGCGUAGAUAUUGGGAGGAACACCAGUGGCGAAAGGCGGCUCACUGGACCGACACUGACGCUGAGCGCGAAAGCGU